Molecule: ribosomal RNA, 222 nt
Filed under: uncultured bacterium
Lineage: Bacteria
Description: partial 16S ribosomal RNA
Rfam family: Bacterial small subunit ribosomal RNA
Source: RNAcentral
AUUGAACGCUGGCGGCAUGCCUUACACAUGCAAGUCGAACGGUAGCGCGGGGGCGAACCCUCGGCGACGAGUGGCGAACGGGUGAGUAAAGUAUCGGAACGUGCCCUAGAGUGGGGAGUAACUAGUCGAAAGACUAGCUAAUACCGCAUACGAUCUAUGGAUGAAAGUAGGGGGAGUCGCAAGACCUCAUGCUCAUGGAGCGGCCGAUAUCUGAUUAGCUAG